Molecule: non-coding RNA, 96 nt
Submitted as: unclassified sequences
Source: Rfam
UAAUCCUUGUAACACGCCUGACCGAGACUAAACAGCGUGUAUAAACAACAGUCUCUCAUACCAACUCUGGAGGGUAGAGUUGGAAUAUUUUACCUA